This 253-nucleotide ribosomal RNA is filed under the name uncultured bacterium. Its description in RNAcentral is "partial 16S ribosomal RNA". It matches the Rfam family "Bacterial small subunit ribosomal RNA", at positions 524 to 776 of the family's 1533-position model. The record is from RNAcentral.
UACGGGGGGGGCAAGCGUUGUUCGGAAUUACUGGGCGUAAAGGGCUCGUAGGCGGCCAACUAAGUCAGACGUGAAAUCCCUCGGCUCAACCGAGGAACUGCAUCCGAUACUGGCGGGCUUGAAUCCGGGAGAGGGAUGUGGAAUUCCAGGUGUAGCGGUGAAAUGCGUAGAUAUCUGGAGGAACACCGGUGGCGAAGGCGGCAUCCUGGACCGGUAUUGACGCUGAGGCGCGAAAGCUAGGGGAGCAAACGGG